UUGUUUAUAUAAAAAAUCUGGCCUGCCCAAUGAAUAUUUUAAUGGCUGCAGUAUUUUGACUGUACAAAGGUAGCAUAAUCAUUUGUCUUUUAAUUGAAGUCUGGAAUGAAUGGUUGGAUGAAAAAUUUACUUUCUUUAUUUUUUAAAAAAAACUUAAUCUUUAAAUUAAAAAGUUUAAAUAUUAAUAUAGGACGAGAAGACCCUAUAGAACUUUAUUAUUAAAAAGUUAUAAUUUUAUUGAAAAUAAUUUGUUAAAAUUUUGACUAUAAUUUUGUUGGGGUGAUGGAAAAAAUUUUAUAACUUUUUUUAUAAAUUUCAUUUAUAUAUGAUUUUGUGAUCCUGUUUUAUGGAAAUAAGAUUAAGUUACCUUAGGGAUAACAGCGUUAUUACUUUAGAAAGUUCCUAUUGAUAAAGUAGUUUGCGACCUCGAUGUUGGAUUAAAAAAAAUGCCAGGGGUAGAAUAUUGGUGUAUGAGUCUGUUCGACUUUUAAUUUU
This 495-nucleotide ribosomal RNA is filed under the name Xiphoides sp. 'furvus'. RNAcentral describes it as "partial 16S ribosomal RNA". The record is from RNAcentral. Lineage: Eukaryota; Metazoa; Arthropoda; Insecta; Hemiptera; Miridae.